AUUUAGAAGACAGCAAAUACCUCACUGGCCCAAGAGUUUUGUUGCCAAAUCGCCAUCUCAGACCCCAGAUACAGUUCACUGGGUGCUUGUUGCCCGAAGAUCAGAGUGAGGUCUGAUAGACUCUUCUUCUGCCCCCGAGCAACAGAUGAAACCAAAGCAAGACAGGCGCCAGGCUGCAGUGCAAUGUCCCCUCCACGGCGUCUUCAAGCGGGUCAGUACAUCAAGAGGCUGUCGGCGUCCUGGGUCUCGUGGUAACCCACAUAGAAAUCACCGACUACGACCCGGCGAGUGAACAGGUGCCGUCACUUCUCCGCACUUGCCCUUCAGUGUGCCAUUGUGCGCAAAGAAGCAAACACAUCACUUCCCAGGGUUUGUUGCCGAUGUGACCAGAGACAGCCGGGGUCCAUCCGCCGCUUCAAGGGAUCUGUUCUCAGACGAACCAUGAGAUCCUGUUCAGGCUGCAAAACGUGUGAAGAAAUUAAGUCGGGAGACCCUGAACUUGGACGCCUUGGUGUUGCCAUCUCCGCUUACCCUCUUCCCGCCAGGAGUCUGGCCACAGAAUGAGUCAGGAUUCUACCUGGGAAAGUCACGUAUGGAUUGAGGACCUCCAAAAGGAGAAAUAAAUUUGCCAAGAAAUGCCCUUGUCACAGGACCUCCAGUGGCGCACUUCGGAGGAUCUGAGCGAGCGGAGGGGAAAGACUCCCGGGUGCUGCGGGAUGACACACGACUCCUGAGCAUCGGGAGACAGGAG
Lepus europaeus (European hare) is the source of this 751-nucleotide long non-coding RNA. RefSeq lists it as uncharacterized. The record is from RefSeq and is a predicted model, not a curated record. The transcript is spliced from 3 exons. NCBI's taxonomy places the organism in Eukaryota, Metazoa, Chordata, Mammalia, Lagomorpha, Leporidae.